This 107-nucleotide small nucleolar RNA is filed under the name Gossypium arboreum. Its description in RNAcentral is "Plant small nucleolar RNA R71". It matches the Rfam family "Plant small nucleolar RNA R71". Rfam says of the family: R71 is a member of the C/D box family of snoRNAs containing the C (UGAUGA) and D (CUGA) box motifs. Multiple nearly identical copies of this snoRNA have been identified in Arabidopsis, and it is thought to function as a 2'-O-ribose methylation guide for 18S ribosomal RNA. The record is from Rfam by way of RNAcentral. RNAcentral also lists the same sequence under 1 other name. Lineage: Eukaryota; Viridiplantae; Streptophyta; Magnoliopsida; Malvales; Malvaceae.
AUCCCAUGAUGAGGACACUUAUGCAGUAACUCCUUGAAUCGCUCCCAAGCCUCAUACAAAGACUCGUCAUCCAAUUGUUGGAAGGUUGUGAUCUCAUUCCUCAACUU